GGCCCUAUGGGGUGCAGCAGGCGAGAAAACUUUGCAAUGUGCGAAAGCACGACAAGGUUAAUCCGAGUGGUUUCUGCUAAAGGAACCUUUUGUUAGUCAUAGAACCACUAAUGAAUAAGGGGUGGGCAAGUUCUGGUGUCAGCCGCCGCGGUAAAACCAGCACCUCAAGUGGUCAGGAUGAUUAUUGGGCCUAAAGCAUCCGUAGCCUGCUUUGUAAGUUUUCGGUUAAAUCCAUACGCUCAACGUAUGGGCUGCCGGGAAUACUGCAAAGCUAGGGAGUGGGAGAGGUAGACGGUACUCGGUAGGAAGGGGUAAAAUCCUUUGAUCUAUUGAUGACCACCUGUGGCGAAGGCGGUCUACCAGAACACGUCCGACGGUGAGGGAUGAAAGCUGGGGGAGCAAACCGGAUUAGAUACCCGGGUAGUCCCAGCUGUAAACUAUGCAAACUCGGUGAUGCAUUGGCUUGAUGCCAAUGCAGUGCCGCAGGGAAGCCGUUAAGUUUGCCGCCUGGGAAGUACGGUCGCAAGUAUGAAACUUAAAGGAAUUGGCGGGGGAGCAC
RNAcentral lists this ribosomal RNA (559 nucleotides) under uncultured Nitrosopumilales archaeon. Its description in RNAcentral is "bacterial SSU rRNA". It matches the Rfam family "Archaeal small subunit ribosomal RNA", at positions 319 to 879 of the family's 1478-position model. The record is from RNAcentral. Lineage: Archaea; Thermoproteati; Nitrososphaerota; Nitrososphaeria; Nitrosopumilales.